GUGCCCACAUGGGUCUCUGACCACAAGGACACAUGCGGAGGACAGGGGCUCCCUCUUCGGCGCUGACAGACCAAGCUUCACUUUUAUCCCGCUGGAACUUGCCUGUCACUGCCUGCCACCAUUGAUGUCUCGUCCCCGAAUGCUGCAGAAGGGGAAAACAUUCAUCUCCUUGUUCAUAAUCUGCCAGAGAACCUUGGAACCCUUUCCUGGUGUGGCAAAGAACUGAGGACCAGGGUUGCCUGCUCUCUCUGGGAUGAAGGAACUGGCUUGGAGUUCCUUGGCCCCUGAGGAACGAGGAGGUUACUGAGCACAGGCGGAGAGCUGGUACCCUAGCAGAAUCUGUGGAACAGUUGGUGAUGUGAUCCAAACUCCUUCUGUCUUUCAAUCAUUGUGCACAGAUUUGAUUUAAUAAAAG
Molecule: long non-coding RNA, 415 nt
Filed under: Cricetulus griseus (Chinese hamster)
Lineage: Eukaryota; Metazoa; Chordata; Mammalia; Rodentia; Cricetidae
Description: lncRNA (ENSCGRG00015037625.1)
Source: RNAcentral